Molecule: ribosomal RNA, 440 nt
Filed under: uncultured bacterium
Lineage: Bacteria
Description: partial 16S ribosomal RNA
Rfam family: Bacterial small subunit ribosomal RNA
Source: RNAcentral
CCUACGGGAGGCAGCAGUGGGGAAUAUUGCACAAUGGGGGAAACCCUGAUGCAGCGACGCCGCGUGAGUGAAGAAGGAAUUCGGUAUGUAAAGCUCUAUCAGCAGGGAAGAAAAUGACGGUACCUGAGUAAGAAGCCCCGGCUAACUACGUGCCAGCAGCCGCGGUAAUACGUAGGGGGCAAGCGUUAUCCGGAUUUACUGGGUGGAAAGGGAGCGGAGACGGCAGUGCAAGUCUGGAGUGAAAGCCGGGGGCUCAACCCCGGGACUGCUCUGGAAACUGUAUGGCUGGAGUGCAGGAGAGGGAGGUGGAAUUCCUAGUGUAGCGGUGAAAUGCGUAGAUAUUAGGAGGAACACCAGUGGCGAAGGCGGCCUACUGGACUGUAACUGACGUUGAGGCGCGAAAGCGUGGGGAGCAAACAGGAUUAGAUACCCCUGUAGUC